RNAcentral lists this non-coding RNA (124 nucleotides) under Polytomella parva. Lineage: Eukaryota; Viridiplantae; Chlorophyta; Chlorophyceae; Chlamydomonadales; Chlamydomonadaceae. The record is from RNAcentral.
AAUGAAAAUGAAAGCAGUGAAAGAGCCUUGAAAUCGAAAAAGAAGAGGAAAAAAAUCGAAAAACGAUAAAAACGUCAUGUCCAAGCAUGUCUCAAAUCCCGCCACCUCUUUCCCCUCCUCCUCU